GAUGAACGCUGGCGGCGUGCUUAACACAUGCAAGUCGAGCGGACGGACGCUACGCUUGUUGGUUGGUCGUGAGGGGCGGAGGGGUGAGUAACACGUGGAUACUCUCCUUAUCAGUCUGGGAUAAUUACGGGAAUGCGGAGCUAAUAGCAUAGGAUAUUCUGAAGCGCGUGGUUGAUAGGUGAGAGACGGCGGUUGUGUCAGUUCUAGAUGGAUCCGCGCUGGAUUAGCUGGUUGGUAAGUUAACGGCCUACCAAGGCUACGAUGCAUAGCCGACGUGAUGGGGUGAUCGGCCACCCUGGAACGGAGCCACGGUCCAUACUCCUGCGGGAGGCAGCAGUAGGGAAUCUUCGGCAAUGGGGGGAAGCAUGGCGGAGCAGCGCCGCGUCAGUGGUGAAGGUCUUCGGAUCGUGAAGAUCUGCUAUUGGGGGUGAACAGCUGUGGAAUUAACUGUGCACAGCUUGACGGUAACUGGUCAGGAAGCCCCGGCUAACUACGUG
RNAcentral lists this ribosomal RNA (497 nucleotides) under uncultured bacterium. RNAcentral describes it as "partial 16S ribosomal RNA". It matches the Rfam family "Bacterial small subunit ribosomal RNA", at positions 28 to 507 of the family's 1533-position model. The record is from RNAcentral.